ACCCCUACGGGGGGCAGCAGUGGGGAAUAUUGGACAAUGGGCGCAAGCCUGAUCCAGCCAUGCCGCGUGAGUGAUGAAGGCCUUAGGGUUGUAAAGCUCUUUUGUCCGGGACGAUAAUGACGGUAGUCGGAGAAGAAGCCCCGGCUAACUUCGUGCCAGCAGCCGCGGUAA
This 171-nucleotide ribosomal RNA is filed under the name uncultured Agrobacterium sp. Its description in RNAcentral is "partial 16S ribosomal RNA". It matches the Rfam family "Bacterial small subunit ribosomal RNA", at positions 335 to 523 of the family's 1533-position model. The record is from RNAcentral. Lineage: Bacteria; Pseudomonadati; Pseudomonadota; Alphaproteobacteria; Hyphomicrobiales; Rhizobiaceae.